Molecule: ribosomal RNA, 241 nt
Filed under: uncultured bacterium
Lineage: Bacteria
Description: partial 16S ribosomal RNA
Rfam family: Bacterial small subunit ribosomal RNA
Source: RNAcentral
GGACGGGUGAGUAAUACUUAGGUAAUCUGCCUACUUGUUGGGGAUAACUCUCAGAAAUGAGAGCUAAUACCGAAUAAUCUUCUUUAAUCAUAAGAUUUUUGAAGGAAAGGCUUCGGUCGCAAGUAGAGGAGCCUAAGUCUGAUUAGCUUGUUGGUGGGGUAAUGGCUUACCAAGGCGACGAUCAGUAGCUGGUUCGAGAGGAUGAACAGCCACACUGGGACUGAGAUACGGCCCAGACUCC